Molecule: ribosomal RNA, 502 nt
Filed under: Cladosporium sp. 0312TES23W2
Lineage: Eukaryota; Fungi; Ascomycota; Dothideomycetes; Cladosporiales; Cladosporiaceae
Description: eukaryotic LSU rRNA
Rfam family: 5.8S ribosomal RNA (bases 189-342)
Source: RNAcentral
CUUCCGUAGGUGAACCUGCGGAGGGAUCAUUACAAGUGACCCCGGUCUAACCACCGGGAUGUUCAUAACCCUUUGUUGUCCGACUCUGUUGCCUCCGGGGCGACCCUGCCUUCGGGCGGGGGCUCCGGGUGGACACUUCAAACUCUUGCGUAACUUUGCAGUCUGAGUAAACUUAAUUAAUAAAUUAAAACUUUUAACAACGGAUCUCUUGGUUCUGGCAUCGAUGAAGAACGCAGCGAAAUGCGAUAAGUAAUGUGAAUUGCAGAAUUCAGUGAAUCAUCGAAUCUUUGAACGCACAUUGCGCCCCCUGGUAUUCCGGGGGGCAUGCCUGUUCGAGCGUCAUUUCACCACUCAAGCCUCGCUUGGUAUUGGGCAACGCGGUCCGCCGCGUGCCUCAAAUCGACCGGCUGGGUCUUCUGUCCCCUAAGCGUUGUGGAAACUAUUCGCUAAAGGGUGUUCGGGAGGCUACGCCGUAAAACAACCCCAUUUCUAAGGUGACCUC